CGUGCUCGUCGAGCAGCCGGUCGAGCUCCGCCCGCCCCACGGCGGCGGGCCGGAGCAGCCUCGGGUCGCGGCGUCGGAUCACCCGGCGGUCACGACC
RNAcentral lists this transfer RNA (97 nucleotides) under Kocuria varians. Its description in RNAcentral is "tRNA-Arg". The record is from RNAcentral. Lineage: Bacteria; Bacillati; Actinomycetota; Actinomycetes; Micrococcales; Micrococcaceae.